Long non-coding RNA from Suricata suricatta (meerkat), 517 nucleotides. RefSeq lists it as uncharacterized. The record is from RefSeq and is a predicted model, not a curated record. The transcript has 2 exons. NCBI's taxonomy places the organism in Eukaryota, Metazoa, Chordata, Mammalia, Carnivora, Herpestidae.
AGAGGCGUCUGGCGCAGGUGACACUUCCCACCCAGCGGCGUUAUCGUAUCGAUGCGUCCAGCUUCCCGAGAAAGGACAGAGGAGAAGCCAAAACACAGACACUGGAGACUCCAAGCCUCUGAGACGCCGCGGCCCUGCCCUCAGUCAUCUCCCAGGGGUCCUCGCUUUCAAGAUGUCCUCCCGUCUGGGUGCCUCCCGUCCUGACUCUUGCACACUAAGAACUCGCUAACCGACAACGUCGUAGUCCUUCACGAAACUUUACAUCGAUUAGUCUGGCAGGCUGUUCUCUGAUGUUUUGAUUUGUCCUUCCAGGCAUUAAAUAACCCGUAAGGUCUGUCAUGCCUGCCUAACCCAUUACUGAUACUUCAUGACUGUACUGUCUCAGUCUCUCAAUACGAAGAGUCGUACUGAAGGGCCUCACCAACUACUGCAGUAUUGAAUCCAACUUUAUUCUGGUUGUAGUAACUAUUAUGUGGUGGAUGUCAGAAAAUGAAAGAGAAACUGCUUUUGUAAUCAA